RNAcentral lists this ribosomal RNA (484 nucleotides) under uncultured bacterium. RNAcentral describes it as "partial 16S ribosomal RNA". It matches the Rfam family "Bacterial small subunit ribosomal RNA", at positions 28 to 507 of the family's 1533-position model. The record is from RNAcentral.
GUCGAACGCUGGCGGCGGGCUUAACACAUGCAAGUCGAACGGAAAAGGAGGGCUUUCAUCCUACUCCAGUGGCGGACGGGUGAGUAAUACCUAGGUGAUAACCUACUCAUAUGGGUGGAAGUCCUGCGAAAAGCGGCUAUUACUCCCGAGUAAUAUAUUGAACCGUGGGGGUUGAUAGGUACUUUCGGUUUAGGAUGAACUUAGAGCUGAUUACCGGGUUCGUGAGGUAACGGCCUACCAAGGCGCCGACCCGUACCCGAACUGAGAGGGUGACCGGCCACCCUGGAACUGAGACACGGUCCAGACUCCUACGGGAGGCAGCAGUAGGGAAUCUUGGGCAAUGGGCGAAAGCUUGACCGAGCAACGCCGCGUGGGUGAAGAAGGUCUUCGGAUCGUAAAACUCUGUUAUUGGGGAAGAACACAUGUGUAAGUAACUAUGCAUGUCUUGACGGUACCUAAACAAGAAGCACCGGCUAACUACGUG